RNAcentral lists this long non-coding RNA (563 nucleotides) under Homo sapiens (human). RNAcentral's name for it is "HSALNT0294380". Lineage: Eukaryota; Metazoa; Chordata; Mammalia; Primates; Hominidae. The record is from RNAcentral.
GUGAAAAAAUCUUCUAGGAGCAGCUAACAAGAAUCCUAAUACAGGAGUGUUUAUGGUUGGGUUGAGACACAUUCAGUAGCUGAGUGAUUGACAGCAAGAGGAGCAAGACAUGAGGUAGAUUUGUAUUAUAUUCUCAGUGAAACGGGAUAGCUUUAGAAGCUUUUUAAUAAAAAGGAUAUAUGAUCUAAAUUUCCUACUGUUAAUAAUUAUCAAAUAUAUGGCAAUGCUGGACUUUAGCUGAUCAUCGUGCUUCUGGAAAACAACAAAAAUUGAGAUAUCUGUUCACCACUUUGUGUGUCCAAGGACCACCUACUUUUUACAUGUGACAAGAACUACCCACCUCCACUCUUCAGAACAUGCUGAAGAAAAGAGUUGCAAUGAGAAAAUAUAUGGGAACAAAAUACCUAUGCAAUGCAGAAGUCUGCAUAACUGAACCACUCAGAGGAAAAAGAUUGCCAUUUCAGGACACCUCCUACAUCUGAGGAAAUAUGCAUUGAUCUUGCAGUACUUUUCUCCUCCAAAUAAAAGUCUAAGCCAAAGGACACUUCAGUUAUCCAAUCUUG